This 299-nucleotide unclassified non-coding RNA is filed under the name plant metagenome. RNAcentral's name for it is "partial contains 5.8S ribosomal RNA, internal transcribed spacer 2, and large subunit ribosomal RNA". The stretch from base 1 to 105 matches the Rfam family "5.8S ribosomal RNA", at positions 50 to 154 of the family's 154-position model. The record is from RNAcentral.
GAAAUGCGAUAAGUAAUGUGAAUUGCAGAAUUCAGUGAAUCAUCGAAUCUUUGAACGCACAUUGCGCUCGCCAGUAUUCUGGCGAGCAUGCCUGUUCGAGCGUCAUUUCAACCAUCAAGCUCUGCUUGCGUUGGGGAUCCGCGGCUGCCCGCGGUCCCUCAAAAACAGUGGCGGGCUCGCUAGUCACACCGAGCGUAGUAACUCUACAUCGCUAUGGUCGUGCGGCGGGUUCUUGCCGUAAAACCCCCAAUUUCUAAGGUUGACCUCGGAUCAGGUAGGAGUACCCGCUGAACUUAAGC